AGUGCAGAGUCACUGAGCUGUUACUGAGUCUGAAACAUUCAACAGGACUCUUCUUGGAUGCGACGCUUAGCCAACAAUACUGCACAGUAUUCCAGCACGAGACUCCCUCACAGCUGCAAACUUCUCACCAGGCGGAGCACUGCCCAUAAAGGACAAAACACUCCUGCUUGAGUGUGUGAAACUGAGUACAGGAUGAGGCUUUCUGUUCUUCUGACGUUCCUCUUGGCUCUGGCUCGCAGCUCUGGCUCUGGUUCACGCUGUAAGGAAAACUGGACAAACCAAAAAGGCUACAGUGAAUUCUCAGAAAAGCACAUUCUGUCAAGGGAUAUUAAAGGAAACCUGAAAGUAAAAGAACUAAAUAACAUAUUUGAAAAAUACCUACAAAAACAAGAUCUCUGUGGAAGAGUAGAUCUGCAGACCUUCUUUAGACGGACUGACAGAAAGAGAGUUGAAAGCAUCUGUAAUGGUCAAGGCUUUGCAGAAGGUUUUGGAAAUCUGUGCAUCAGUGAGCAGAAGUUCACUGUUUACAUGGUGGAAAGCAGGAAAGUGAAAAGUGGUUGUAAAAUAAAUAGAAUUAAUGUUGAGACCCUGUAUGUGGUUGUUGGCUGCGGAAAGGUUAAAAACAAAUGUCUGCCUGUUCACUUUCAUAAUCAGACCUAUGUGGCACCAAAAUCAAAUGCUGCUCGCUGUAAACCGAAGCAGCUCAUUCAUCCUGCACCUAAACACAAAACCUUCUUUUGGUUCUAUUUCUCUUCUUUCAUGCUUCCCACUGCUGGAUAAAAGUCUCUGCUACAAGAAUCUAUGCUAAUUAUAUUUCAAGAAGAGCAUAGAACAUUUAAAGACUAAGCAUUUGCAUAUUUUCCUGCCGUUAUUGUGAUAAUUUUAUAAAGUUCCUCUUAAUAAAUUGUGACCAUGUUUGAAGAUCUUCACUGAAAAAUCUGAAUUGUGAAUUUGAAAGCGUGUGUGAACAUUCUGUACACAAGAAACUGAAAGAUUUUGCUGGAUUUAUUUCACUGUGAGCUUUUUGCUUAAAGCUAUAGCAUUAAAAAUUUUAAUCAUCU
This is a long non-coding RNA of Colossoma macropomum (tambaqui), 1061 nucleotides long. RefSeq lists it as uncharacterized. The record is from RefSeq and is a predicted model, not a curated record. NCBI's taxonomy places the organism in Eukaryota, Metazoa, Chordata, Actinopteri, Characiformes, Serrasalmidae. The transcript has 3 exons.